GGCAGCGCCCUGGUGGCGGAGAGUACGGCGCGCCCGGUCACAGGCGGCACGUCAGCUGCCGGGUAAGGCUUCGUGAGAGGCAGGGCUUGGGGAGCGCUCAAUGCUCGGCUGCCGGGGCGCGCUCUACAGUUUGCGGAGCUGGAGCCGGUAGUCUGGAGGCGGAGCCUAGGCUGGCCUGGGGGCGGAGUCAGAAGGCGGUCCUUGACCGGAAGGCAGGCUCUAGAAAUUGGAAGGCACAUCUGCCAGAAUCAGGAACAACAAUCUCACCGGGACACUGGAGGAGCGUUCUGGAGAAACCAUAGUCCACCUGAAGCUUUAGCUCCAUCCUCACGCCUUUACCAAAUCAAGAAGCACAGUGAGCUUAUGACUGUUGGCACAGAUGUGGUUGGUGAGGGCCUUAUUCAUGCUUGCUGGUGCUCUCUACAAAGGACCGAGAUUUGGUUCCUGGCUGCCUGUGACUCCUGCUCUAUGGAAUUUGUCACAUGAUUAAAAAUAAACUAAACCUUAAGAAUGCACACACAGACUCAGCCCUCAGGCUCACUCUUAGUGCUGCAACAGAACACCAGCUGCAGUCUAUAUUCUCCCUCGCCAUGCCUCCUGUGGAUCCCACAGGCCAACCCUCUUGGCCUCCCAGAAAUCAGCACCUAGUUCUAUAAUUACCCCAAACCAAGUCACAUAGAUGCCAAAGUAAAAACAAUCAAUAACAGGGCAAUAUGCACGAUUGAAGAAAUGGAUACAUCGGUCAAAGAAAAUGUUAAAUCUAAAAAAAUUCCUGACAUAAAACAUCCAAGACAUCUGUGAUACUAUGAAAAAAACCAAACCUAAGAAAGAAUAGCUUCUGUAAAGCAAAGGACACCAUCAUCAAAACAAAACGACUGCCUACAGAUUGGGAAAGAAUCUUCACCAACCCUUUAUCUGACAGAAGGUUAAUAUCCAGUAUAUAUGAAGAACUAAAGAAGCUGAAAAGCAGCAAACCAAAUAAUCCAAUUAAAAAAUGGGGAACAGAGCUAAACAGAGAAUUCUCUGUAGAGGAAUAUUGAAUGGCAGAGAAACAAAGAAAUGCUCAACAUCAUUAGCCAUUAGGGAAAUGCAAAUCAAAACAACCCUAAGAUUUCACCUUACACCCAUCAGAAUGGCCAAGAUGAAAAACUCAAGUGACAACACAUGCUGGAAAGGUUGUGGAGAAAGGGGAACCCUUCUCCACUGCUGGUGGGAAUGUAAACUUGUACAACCACUUUGGAAAUCAAUCUGGCGCUUUCUCAGACAACUAGGAAUAGCGCUUCCUCAAGAUCCAGCCAUACCACUUCUAGGCAUAUAUCCAAAAGAGGCUCAAGUACACAAUAAGAACAUUUGCUCAGCCAUGUUUGCAGCAGCUUUAUUUGUAAUAGCCAGAAGCUGCAAACAGCCCAGAUGCCCCUCAACUGAAGAAUGGAUGCAGAAAUUGUGGUACAUCUACAUAAUGGAUUAUUACCCAGCAAUGAAAAAUAAGGAAAUCAUGAAAUUUGCAGGUAAAUGGUGGGACCUGGAAAUCAUCCUGAGUGAGUUGUCCCAGAAGCAGAAAGACACACAUGGUACAUACUCACUCAUAUAGACAUGUAAUAUAGGAUAAACCUACUAAAAUCUGUACAUCUAAAGAAACUAAUCAAGAGAGAGGGCCCUGACUAAAAUGCUCAAUCCCCAUCCCGAAAGGCAAAGAGGAAGGACAUCAGAAGAAGAAGAAAACAGGAAACAAACAAUCUAAGAACCUGCUACAGAGGGCCUCUGAAAGGCUCUACCCUGCAGACUAUCAAAGCAGACGCUGAGACUUAUGGCCAACUGUUGGGCAGUGUGCAUGGAAUCUUAUGUAAGAAGUGGAAAAUAGUAAGAUCUGGAGAGGACAGGAACCCCAUAAGGAGAGCAACAGAACCAGAAAAUUUGAACACAGGGUUCUUUCCAAAGACUCAUACUCCAACCAAGUACCAUGCAUGGAGAUAACCUAGAACCCCUGCACAGAUGUAGCCCAUGGCAGUUUAGUGUACAAGUGGGUUACAUAUAAUGGGAAGAGGGACUGCCUCUGUCAUAAUCUGAUUGGCCUGCUCUUUGAUCACCUCUCUCUGAGGAGGGAGCAGCCUUACCAGGCCACAGAAGAUGACAAUGCAGCCACUCCUGAUGAGAUCUGAUGGACUAAGAUCAGAAGGAAGGAGAGGAGAACCUCCCCUAUCAGUGGACUUGGGAAGGGGCAUGCAUGCAGAAAGGGGAGGAAGGGUGGGAUCGGGAGGGGAGGAGGGAGGGGCUUAUG
Meriones unguiculatus (Mongolian gerbil) is the source of this 2278-nucleotide long non-coding RNA. RefSeq lists it as uncharacterized. The record is from RefSeq and is a predicted model, not a curated record. The transcript has 4 exons. NCBI's taxonomy places the organism in Eukaryota, Metazoa, Chordata, Mammalia, Rodentia, Muridae.